Long non-coding RNA from Vidua chalybeata, 358 nucleotides. RefSeq lists it as uncharacterized. The record is from RefSeq and is a predicted model, not a curated record. The transcript has 2 exons. NCBI's taxonomy places the organism in Eukaryota, Metazoa, Chordata, Aves, Passeriformes, Viduidae.
CUGAACACGUGACACCAGAGGCACAAAAGCUCGAGAGAGAGAUGCAUGCUGGUGCCAAGAUUCAGCUGAUUUUCCAUCAUACUUAUUUACAGCACCCUGGGUGUAUCCCUGCAUCUCACUCAUGCUCCAAACAUCCUGGCUUUCCUGCUGUUGUCCUGGAACACGAGGAAAUGAACUGGGCACGGUGUUCCCUCUGGAGAGGUGCACCGGAGCAAUCGCUUCCAGAUUUCUCCCAGUGCCACGAGAAUCCUCAGCUCCAGCAGCCCCCAGGAGAGCAGAGGGUGCUGUGUGCUCUCCUGGGGGCUGCCCCCAUGGACAUGGGGGGGGUCUUCCUGCAGGAAUAAACUCAUAAAUAAAU